GUGGGGAAUAUUGCACAAUGGGCGAAAGCCUGACGCAGCAACGCCGCGUGAGGGACGACGGCCUUCGGGUUGUAAACCUCUUUUAGUAGGGAAGAAGCGAAAGUGACGGUACCUGCAGAAAAAGCACCGGCUAACUACGUGCCAGCAGCCGCGGUAAUACGUAGGGUGCAAGCGUUAUCCGGAAUUAUUGGGCGUAAAGAGCUCGUAGGCGGUCUGUCGCGUCUGCUGUGAAAACUGGAGGCUCAACCUCCAGCCUGCAGUGGGUACGGGCAGACUAGAGUGCGGUAGGGGAGAUUGGAAUUCCUGGUGUAGCGGUGGAAUGCGCAGAUAUCAGGAGGAACACCGAUGGCGAAGGCAGAUCUCUGGGCCGUAACUGACGCUGAGGAGCGAAAGCGUGGGGAGCGAACAGGAUUAGAUACCCUUGUAGUCC
Molecule: ribosomal RNA, 430 nt
Filed under: uncultured bacterium
Lineage: Bacteria
Description: partial 16S ribosomal RNA
Rfam family: Bacterial small subunit ribosomal RNA
Source: RNAcentral